CUAUUGAAACUGACACGUUUCUAUGGAGAUCGCUGCGCCUUAUAUGGUGCUCGUGUCAAGGAGCCAAGAGAGGGGCUGCUGGCAACUGAUAAUCAAAGGCGACUGACUGGUCAGAACCCUGCAUUGAGGGGGGAGAGAGAAAAUGGGAGGCUAAGGUUAGCCAAGCCUCUUUCACUCCAUUGGUUAGCGUCCUCGUUCCUUGCUACCUACGACUGGGGGCUCUGACAAGCACAAUUUACAUUGAGCUCGCCCUGCACUGCUAUUUAAUUUGAAACCUGAUUAGUAUGGGCCGUCUAUUGUCACAAAAAGAGGAAGAAACCCCGAUUAGAAUAGUCGCAAAGCGGGGUAAAAGCCGGGACAAAGCCAAGCGCGCAUGAAAUAAAUAAACGUACGCGGUGAAAGGUCUCAGGGAGACCGAUUAAAGUUUGAGAUGCUUUGUCUCACGCCGCUGUCAUGAUUACAAGCCCUUAAUUCGCGCAUUGUCUUUUUUGAACGUAUCACUCUCACAUACGCUAUAUUUUAGAGCACAGAGUCUGCGUUGGGGAAAUACUUUUUGAUUGCUGAUGUUGAUUUAUCUUUAUCGUGCAUAGAUAACGGUCCUUGUCAGGCAAAUUAUGGGAAAUAUGCGAGUGCACUACCGCCUACUAGCUGUUUUAUCUGUCUGGAUGCGACAGCAAUGAUAGCGAAUCCUUCAGACUCGUCUAUGAAUAACCGGACUAAUUCAAUGGAUAAGCCAUUAAGAUAUGUACAAAUGAUUGCUAUAUAGCCUUUGUUUAGAUUCUUAUUUAUUCGAAACCAUGCCUUGUCCUUUAAAUAUUCUGCGGGCAUCCAGUAUUUUGUGUAUGAAUGCUGUAGCCUGAGCUGUACAGACCGAAAUGUCUGGAUCGGGCUGCCACCUAGCGUACAGUAGACAAUUACAUGGACAGAGAACUGCAUAAGUUAUUGUUGUAAUAGGCCUGCAUUUUUUGGGUACUGUAAAGGUAUUUACAGUACUGAUCAAACGCUCGAUUAUCAUAUUAAUAUAGGUGGGCCAUGUUGGUCAGAAUUUUGGUAGUAUGCUAUGGUUUUAAUUAUAAAAAAAAAGUUGAAGCUUAUUCUUGUGUAGAAAUAUGUCAUCACGAAAAUGUUGAGCUGGAAUUGAAGAACAUUCCUCUCUGAGCAAGUUCAUACUUUCUAUUUCCCUAUCUUACAAACUACGCUGUUUUAUCAGGUCAAGUAUGACGUUGAUUCCACAGUACUAUGUAGGUUAUGUAGACCAUAGAUGCAGCGUAUUUAUAAGAGGGCGUGAAAAGUUUUUACAAUAGUUUGUUUAUGGCUUGUUUCAUGCAUUAAGUUAAUACAUUAAGUACAUGUUUUUCAAAUAGUCUCUUAACUUGCCUCUUGGAAAAUAUUGUUUUCGUGUAGGCUAUGUGUUUGGAACCAUUGAACAGUCUCCCUCCCUCCGGUUCUCUCGCGAUCGUGAUAGCCAACACAUACUGGCGGUCAUGUCUCCUGUUCUUUGAAAAGAUUCAGCGGCGAGCGAGAAGGAGAGAGAGAGGCACACCAGCGAAUGGGAGACCAGAGAGGAAGGCAACCAAGAGAACAGCGAGAGAGAGGAGGGAAAGUGGACACUAGGACAUGAAGGGAGAGAGUGCUCCGCGCCGGCUCUCAACCUUGCAUGGACAAUGUACUUCAGCGCGACCGAUACCCGUAAGGCAAGUAUUUUACUUAUUUGACAUACUAGCGAUGGAAGAUACUGCAAAACUGCUUUAGGGAUAAACUACUCAUUCUUUUCACCAAUGUUUAUAAGUUCACAUUCAUGAGAAAGCUUCAAAACUGGACUUGUAACAGUCACUAUUAAACGUCCAGUUGUAUGAUUCACACGAAAUAAAACAGAAUAAAAAAUGUAUAAAUUAAAUAAAUUAACAAUAACGUCGCAUCUCUAAAUGUUAAACAGCUUUGCAAUUGAAAGCUGUCGAUGUGCUAUUUCACUCAGUGCAGCUGAACUUGACUAACCACGGCGUAGACCGGCUUUCCAGCCGUAAGCCUCUCACCUGCACUACCCAGUUUGUUGUUUGAUCACAUAAUGAAAAGAUCGAUAGCAACCUGUUUGUCUAAGAGAUAAUGUCAACGGAUUAAAACAACAAUUAUACGAGCGAGGCAGUGACAGAGUGACUGAGUGACUAAGUGAGUCGCGAGACUUUGCAAAGCACGCAAAAUAUAUUUCUGAAAAUGUCACCUCUACGGUAAACUCAUAAAUAUUUGCGCCUAAUGACAACAAUUAAUGGACAUCUGAAAGGUUUACGUAGGCCUAAUGUUUGCUGAAGCCUACAUCCUUAGAUAGAACCCCACAUUCUUGGCAACUUGCUAUCAUCUCAGUAAGUUAUUUUAAAUAGAAAAUAUUGUCAGAAAUCAAAUCACAUUUCUAAUAUAGAAGAAGACACGUCUUAUAACGCCAUGCCAUGAUGGAAAGAAUUGCCAUUACAUUUAAAUUUGUACCAGCUUUAUGAAAACUGAUGAUAAUAAUAACAUCAAAGGUUAUUUUGGGACAUCUCCUUCUUGAAGAAAUAUAAAGUAAUUAUUCAGGAAAUUAUAUAUUUUUGAACCCUGUUGUCCUUAAAAUCCAGUAAUAACAGUGAAUAUAUGUAUAUCUGCAUACAAUUCUCACGUAUAAAAAAUAAAUAAAAAUAAAACCAA
Molecule: long non-coding RNA, 2676 nt
Organism: Clupea harengus (Atlantic herring)
Lineage: Eukaryota; Metazoa; Chordata; Actinopteri; Clupeiformes; Clupeidae
Exons: 2
Source: RefSeq, a predicted model, not a curated record